Molecule: unclassified non-coding RNA, 1503 nt
Filed under: Amphimedon queenslandica
Lineage: Eukaryota; Metazoa; Porifera; Demospongiae; Haplosclerida; Niphatidae
Description: uncharacterized LOC100641518, transcript variant X6
Source: RNAcentral
CAAUUCUCACUGCUCACGUGAUCUUCUACUGUGAAUAUGGCGGCCGCUAAGUCUCGUCGAGCAAACAAGCAGCAACAGCAGCGAGCAGCUGCUAAUACAGCAGAAUCAAUCUCGAUGACAACCAAUGAGAAAAUAUUGAAAGAAUGUCAUGAUCUUUAUGUAACAGAGAAAAAUGGUCUCAUUGCUUUAGGCAAAGAAGUAGAUUACCCUCUCGUUCCUCCUCGUAAGAAAAUUACUGUAUUACUCAUCGGGAAUCAUUCAGCUGGAAAAAGCUCAUUUAUUAAUUGGUACAUUGAGGAACAUGUUCAGAAGACGGCAGUUGCCAUAGAAACGCAGGGUUUCUCGAUUGUGACUAGCGGAAAGAAGAGAGAGUCCCUCACAGGAAAUGCAACUCUUCAUCUGUUUCCACAAUUCAGAGAACUAUCAGAGAUUAAUGGUGUGGUUGACUACCUCAGUACGGAGGUAGCCACAUCAAAACAAAAGAGGUUUCCAUUUGUCACGUUUAUCGAUACCCCUGGACUCGUCGACGGUGACAUGAAGUACCCGUUUGACGUGGAGAAGACGCUUAUCUGGUUAGGAGAAAUGGCCGACCUUGUGUUUGUGUUUUUCGAUCCUCUGGGACAAGCAUUGUGUAGAAGGACACUUGAUAUUGUUGAGUGUCUCAAUGCAAAACAUCCUGAGAGAAUCAAGUUCUAUCUGAGUAAAGCGGACACAGCUGGUACUCAAGGGGACAGACAGCGUGUCCUAAUGCAGAUCACUCAAGAACUGUGCAAAAGACAGGGUCUGAACAGGGCCGGGUUUGACAUGCCGACCAUCUUCAUACCAUCACUGACAGAGAAGACAACUUGUGAUAAUCACAUUGAUGAAGUCUGUGAGACCAUCACUAAAACUAUUGACAGGAAUAUACAAAAUACACUCAAUACAUUGGAGAAAGACGCUGCAACAAUCUCAUCACUCUUCCAUGACAAACUAAACAAAGACAAGGAAACCAAUCAGCUUAACAUGAAGGCAAGGUGUAGAUCAUUCAUAGUGUGGUUCUUUGCUUUGCUUUUUCCAGCUAUUUAUGCUUAUUAUGCUGCCAAGAAUUGGGACUCGGUUGACAAGAUCAAUAUGAGUGAUUUAUAUUACUUACUCGGAUUUAGUCUCAUAAGUUUAAUAAUAUUUGUUAUUGGCUGUAAAAUGUACAGGAUUAAACGUGCUAUGAGUAAGAAGGAGAGAGCUCGUGUCCAAGAGAUAAUUGCUUACAUUGAUAAUACUGUCAAAACGAAAAAAGUAAAUGCAAUAUGUUUUGCCAUUUUGAUUUUCUUUGUAGUCCUCUUCGUAUCAAGAUUAUUUAAGUCAAAGUGUGUCUGGUAUUGACAUGCUAAAUGAGAAAUAUUAAAUCUUUUUAAAUAAGUUUUUAUCGGAGCAUGAAAAGACUUUAUUUAAUAGAUAUUUGACAUCACAAACUUCUAAAGAUAUUAAAUUAUUUUUGAUUUAAUGUUGACAGAUCAUGUAGCACAA